Molecule: ribosomal RNA, 506 nt
Filed under: uncultured bacterium
Lineage: Bacteria
Description: partial 16S ribosomal RNA
Rfam family: Bacterial small subunit ribosomal RNA
Source: RNAcentral
AGUGAACGCUAGCGGUAGGCCUAACACAUGCAAGUCGAACGGCAGCACAGGAGAGCUUGCUCUCUGGGUGGCGAGUGGCGGACGGGUGAGGAAUACAUCGGAAUCUACUCUGUCGUGGGGGAUAACGUAGGGAAACUUACGCUAAUACCGCAUACGACCUACGGGUGAAAGCAGGGGACCUUCGGCCCUUGCGCGAUGGAAUGAGCCGAUGUCGGAUUAACUAGUUGGCGGGGUAAAGGCCCACCAAGGCGACGAUCCGUAGCUGGUCUGAGAGGAUGAUCAGCCACACUGGAACUGAGACACGGUCCAGACUCCUACGGGAGGCAGCAGUGGGGAAUAUUGGACAGUGGGCGCAAGCCUGAUCCAGCCAUACCGCGUGGGUGAAGAAGGCCUUCGGGUUGUAAAGCCCUUUUGUUGGGAAAGAAAUCCAGCUGGCUAAUACCCGGUUGGGAUGACGGUACCCAAAGAAUAAGCACCGGCUAACUUCGUGCCAGCCGCCGCGGUAA